This 292-nucleotide ribosomal RNA is filed under the name uncultured bacterium. Its description in RNAcentral is "partial 16S ribosomal RNA". It matches the Rfam family "Bacterial small subunit ribosomal RNA", at positions 505 to 796 of the family's 1533-position model. The record is from RNAcentral.
GUGUCAGCAGCCGCGGUAAUACGGAGGAUGCAAGCGUUAUCCGGAAUGAUUGGGCGUAAAGGGUCCGCAGGUGGUUUAUCAAGUCUGUUGUUAAAGAAUCUGGCUCAACUAGAUAAAGGCAAUGGAAACUGAGAGACUAGAGUGCAGUAGGGGUAGAGGGAAUUCCCAGUGUAGCGGUGAAAUGCGUAGAGAUUGGGAAGAACACCGGUGGCGAAAGCGCUCUGCUGGACUGCAACUGACACUGAGGGACGAAAGCUAGGGGAGCGAAUGGGAUUAGAUACCCGGGUAGUCC